UACGUAGGGUGCAAGCGUUGUCCGGAAUUAUUGGGCGUAAAGGGCUCGUAGGCGGUUUGUCGCGUCGGGGGUGAAAACCCAGGGCUCAACCCUGGGCCUGCUUCCGAUACGGGCAGACUAGAGGUAUGCAGGGGAGAAUGGAAUUCCUGGUGUAGCGGUGAAAUGCGCAGAUAUCAGGAGGAACACCGGUGGCGAAGGCGGUUCUCUGGGCAUUACCUGACGCUGAGGAGCGAAAGUGUGGGGAGCGAACAGG
RNAcentral lists this ribosomal RNA (253 nucleotides) under uncultured bacterium. RNAcentral's name for it is "partial 16S ribosomal RNA". It matches the Rfam family "Bacterial small subunit ribosomal RNA", at positions 524 to 776 of the family's 1533-position model. The record is from RNAcentral.